GUGGGGAAUCUUCCACAAUGGACGAAAGUCUGAUGGAGCAACGCCGCGUGAGUGAAGAAGGGUUUCGGCUCGUAAAGCUCUGUUGUCGGGGACGAAUGUGCAGUAUUUGAAUAAAGUAGUGCAAUGACGGUACCUGACGAGGAAGCCACGGCUAACUACGUGCCAGCAGCCGCGGUAAUACGUAGGUGGCAAGCGUUGUCCGGAAUUAUUGGGCGUAAAGGGAGCGCAGGCGGGAAGGUAAGUCGGUCUUAAAAGUGCGGGGCUCAACCCCGUGAUGGGAUCGAAACUAUCUUUCUUGAGUGCAGGAGAGGAAAGUGGAAUUCCUAGUGUAGCGGUGAAAUGCGUAGAUAUUAGGAGGAACACCAGUGGCGAAGGCGACUUUCUGGACUGUAACUGACGCUGAGGCUCGAAAGCCAGGGGAGCGAACGGGAUUAGAUACCCUUGUAGUCC
Molecule: ribosomal RNA, 450 nt
Filed under: uncultured bacterium
Lineage: Bacteria
Description: partial 16S ribosomal RNA
Rfam family: Bacterial small subunit ribosomal RNA
Source: RNAcentral